UGGUAAAGCCUAAGAACUUUUCUUACAAGAUCACUAUUAGAAUAAUACUUUUCAAGAUUUUUUAGAUCAUUUAUGAUAUUAGUGAAAUGAGUAAACAUUUAUGUUAUACACUCAUCAGGUUUCAUUUUAAAUAAUUCAUAGUUGUGCAUAAGCAUGUUGAUUUUUGACUCUGUUACUUGGUUUGGGCCCUCAUGAGUAACUUCUAAUCUAUUCCAAAUUUUUUUAGUCGAAUUAGAAGUAGAAAUAUGGUUAAAUUCAUUUACAUCUAAGACACAAUAUAAGAUAUUCAUGGCUUUAGCAUUGAGCUAAGCCAUUUUCUUAUCAAAUUCAUCUCAUUCACCUUCCGACUUAAGGAGGGACAAACCAUCAAUCAACUUAGUGGGUGUAUGAAGUAUAUUUACUAUAAUACUCCAUAUAUCAUAGUCAAGUAUUUAGAUAAAUAUUCUCAUCUGAGCUUUUCAAUAGGUGUAGUUGGACACAUUGAAAAGUGGAUGUCAGUUUGUGGAUUGUCCCUCGACUAGAGAUGUGCCAAAUUGGACUGCCAU
Molecule: long non-coding RNA, 545 nt
Filed under: Elaeis guineensis (African oil palm)
Lineage: Eukaryota; Viridiplantae; Streptophyta; Magnoliopsida; Arecales; Arecaceae
Description: long non-coding RNA (EGUI_LNC065139)
Source: RNAcentral